AAAGACUUAGCUUAGUUAAAGUGACUGAUUUGCACUCAGUAGAUAUAGGUAUAUAACCUGUAGUCUUUA
Molecule: transfer RNA, 69 nt
Rfam family: tRNA
About the family: Transfer RNA (tRNA) molecules are approximately 80 nucleotides in length. Their secondary structure includes four short double-helical elements and three loops (D, anti-codon, and T loops). Further hydrogen bonds mediate the characteristic L-shaped molecular structure. tRNAs have two regions of fundamental functional importance: the anti-codon, which is responsible for specific mRNA codon recognition, and the 3' end, to which the tRNAs corresponding amino acid is attached (by aminoacyl-tRNA synthetases). tRNAs cope with the degeneracy of the genetic code in two manners: having more than one tRNA (with a specific anti-codon) for a particular amino acid; and 'wobble' base-pairing, i.e. permitting non-standard base-pairing at the 3rd anti-codon position.